This 253-nucleotide ribosomal RNA is filed under the name uncultured bacterium. Its description in RNAcentral is "partial 16S ribosomal RNA". It matches the Rfam family "Bacterial small subunit ribosomal RNA", at positions 524 to 776 of the family's 1533-position model. The record is from RNAcentral.
UACGAAGGGGGCUAGCGUUGUUCGGAAUCACUGGGCGUAAAGCGCACGUAGGCGGAUUUGUCAGUCAGGGGUGAAAUCCCGGGGCUCAACCUCGGAACUGCCCUUGAUACAGCAAAUCUAGAGUCCGGAAGAGGUGGGUGGAAUUCCUAGUGUAGAGGUGAAAUUCGUAGAUAUUAGGAAGAACACCAGUGGCGAAGGCGGCCCACUGGUCCGGUACUGACGCUGAGGUGCGAAAGCGUGGGGAGCAAACAGG